Molecule: microRNA precursor, 103 nt
Filed under: Myotis lucifugus (little brown bat)
Lineage: Eukaryota; Metazoa; Chordata; Mammalia; Chiroptera; Vespertilionidae
Description: miRNA (ENSMLUG00000027464.1)
Source: RNAcentral
CUAGGAAGCUUUGAAGCUAGACAUUGACUUCUCUCUAGCUAUGAAAGUCCUAGAUGGCAUCUUCUUCCAAUAUAAGAGUAUUUUGUCUACAUUGAAAUAUGUU